UUUCCGUAGGUGAACCUGCGGAAGGAUCAUUAAUGAGUUGUCAUGGGGUUCGAUGCUGGCAGCCAAUUUUUGGAUGCAUGUGCUUGCCCUAACAAUCAUCUUCCAAACACCUGUGCACAUUUUUGAGGGAGUCUUGAGUUGGUUGCCGCUCUUGGGUGUUUUUCUCACAUUCCCUUAAAUCAUUAUACGCUAUUAACAAUGUUGAACGUGCUCUGUGCCGCAAGGCUAUUAAUAUAAUACAACUUUUAACAACGGAUCUCUAGGCUCUC
RNAcentral lists this unclassified non-coding RNA (269 nucleotides) under plant metagenome. RNAcentral describes it as "partial contains small subunit ribosomal RNA, internal transcribed spacer 1, and 5.8S ribosomal RNA". The record is from RNAcentral.